RNAcentral lists this ribosomal RNA (414 nucleotides) under uncultured microorganism. RNAcentral's name for it is "bacterial SSU rRNA". It matches the Rfam family "Archaeal small subunit ribosomal RNA", at positions 459 to 872 of the family's 1478-position model. The record is from RNAcentral.
CAGCAGCCGCGGUAAUACCGGCGGCCCGAGUGGCGGUCACUAUUAUUGGGCUUAAAGCGUCCGGAGCCGGGUUGGGAAGUCCUCCGGGAAAUCUGGCCGCUUAACGGUCAGAAUGCCGGAGGAUACUCCCAGCCUAGGGAGCGGGAGAGGCCGAGGGGAUUCCCGGAGUAGGGGUGAAAUCCUAUAAUCCCGGGAGGACCACCUGUGGCGAAGGCGCUCGGCUGGAACGCGUCCGACGGUGAGGGACGAAGGCCAGGGGAGCAAACCGGAUUAGAUACCCGGGUAGUCCUGGCUGUAAACGAUGCGGACUUUGUGUCGGACAAGCUAUGAGCUUGUCCGGUGCCGGAGGGAAACCGUUAAGUCCGCCGCCUGGGGAGUACGGCCGCAAGGCUGAAACUUAAAAGAAUUGGCGGG